Molecule: ribosomal RNA, 519 nt
Filed under: uncultured bacterium
Lineage: Bacteria
Description: bacterial SSU rRNA
Rfam family: Bacterial small subunit ribosomal RNA
Source: RNAcentral
AGAGUUUGAUAUGGCUCAGGAUGAACGCUAGCGAUAGGCCUAACACAUGCAAGUCGAGGGGCAGCACAUGAGUAGCAAUACGAUGGUGGCGACCGGCGCACGGGUGAGUAACACGUAUGCAACCUACCUUUAACAGGGGAAUAACCCGUUGAAAAACGGACUAAUACUCCAUAACACAGGGGUCCCGCAUGGGAAUAUUUGUUAAAGAUUAAUCGGUUGAAGAUGGGCAUGCGUUCCAUUAGCUUGUUGGUGAGGUAACGGCUCACCAAGGCCACGAUGGAUAGGGGAACUGAGAGGUUUAUCCCCCCACACUGGAACUGAGACACGGUCCAGACUCCUACGGGAGGCAGCAGUGAGGAAUAUUGGUCAAUGGAGGCAACUCUGAACCAGCCAAGUCGCGUGAAGGAUGAAGGUCUUAUGGAUUGUAAACUUCUUUUGCAAGGGAAUAAAGUGGGGGACGUGUCCUCCUUUGCAUGUACCUUGCGAAUAAGGAUCGGCUAACUCCGUGCCAGCCGCUGC